AACGAACGCUGGCGGCAUGCCUAACACAUGCAAGUCGAACGAAACCUUCGGGUUUAGUGGCGCACGGGGGCGUAACGCGUCGGAACCUUCCCUUAGGUUCGGCCUAACUCCCCGAAAGGGGUGCUAAUACCGGACAAUAUCUUCGAACCAAGGAUUGAUCGCGUUUGGAUGGGCGCGAGUUGGAUUAGGUAGUUGGUAGGGUAAAAGCCGACCAAGGCGACCAUCCAUAGCUUGGAUGAGAGACUGGUUAGCGACACUGGGAAUAAGACACAGCCCAGACUCUUACGGAAGGCGGCAGUGGGGGACACAGGAGAGUAGGGCGAAGGCUGAUACAGCAAUGCCGCGUGAAUGAUGAAGGACUGAGAGUUGUAAUGCUUUAUUAGCUAGGAAGAUAAUGACAGUACCGAGAGAGUAAGCCACGGCUAACUACGUG
This 433-nucleotide ribosomal RNA is filed under the name uncultured bacterium. RNAcentral describes it as "partial 16S ribosomal RNA". It matches the Rfam family "Bacterial small subunit ribosomal RNA", at positions 29 to 507 of the family's 1533-position model. The record is from RNAcentral.